AUGGCAGUUGCAAGAAGGACCACACCUUGUACCACAACACAUGAUGGAAGCAAACCAAAGAAAAAAAGAAUUACGGCAACUUCCAGUCUCACUUCAGAUGAUGAUGAAACACAGAUUGACCCAUCACGAGUUCUUCAAACAAAUAAGCCGAAGAUGACAAAGGCUGCAAAAGACCGAGCCCUUGCCCAACUGAAAUCCUCGCUGCUGAGAAGAAAGCAAACAACCUCCACCCCCUUGACAAAUGAAGACGAUACAGACAUAGACACCAAUGUGGACUUAUUUGACCCACCUCAGGCUUCGGGAUCAAGUGACCUCUCCCAAGGGGAAAGUGAAGAGGAGAGUGUCCUGAUGGAUCAGCCCAGAUCCAGUGUUGGCAUGCAACAGGAAGUGAUGGAUGCUCUGAAAGAAAUACCAGCCUUAGUCAAGUGUGUCAAAGAUCUUAUUGCAACCAUGAAGAGAAUGCCACCUGUCAUGGACACUGACAGUACAUGUUCUGGCUCUUCCAGUCCAGCUCCAGAAAUGAUUUCCCUUGGCAACAAGGGGGUGCAGGUCAGCAAAACCUGUUUCAAAAGACUCAACCGAACAAGAAUGUCCCUGUUCACACAGGACUUAGCUGUGCUCCUCUUUGGGCGGGAUGUUUUGGCAUCCUCGACUCUCACAGGAAAACCAGGGCUUACUGGAACAGUGAAAGAGCAGCUAAAUCCGGAAAAGCUGAGUGCCCUUGUUGGUAAGUAUUAGUUAAGUCUAUUUUUCCUUAUUAUCAUUUUGUUUUUAUGCCUCUACCCUUGCCUUGGCCAUAGCCAGAAGCAACAUGUUUCAGAUUGCCCUCAUGUAUGUAUGCCCCCUUCUAGCUAAUGUGAUAACUCUGCAUGAUUUGUAACACCAUUUUAUUUGUCCUUUUCUAUUUUACAGAUACAGUUAUUGCUGAAUUUCCAGGAACAAAUGUGUCUGAUGUGAGGGCAGUGAUUCAGAGAAAAUGUAACAAUGAGAAUUUUGUGAGCAAAAAGAAACAGUAAGCAGUAAAUCAGUAACUGUUUGUAAUAAUUUCUUGUUUGUUUUUUCUUUGGUGGACAUACAUUUUGAGUUUAAACAAACUGUGUAAAAGUUUAAACAAUCUGUCCACCUAUGUAAAAGUUUCAACAGUCAGUUUAAUGUUUAUUAAUGUUUUCAAAAGUCAGUUUCAGUUUAAUGUUCAUCCCUGUCAUUACUAGAAAUGGUACGAUGAAGAGAAACAGUUUGAAAAUGUUGUUAAAGAUGUAUUUUGUAUCCUGUCAUGCCGUGCAUGUUAAAAAUAAACGUUAUUUCUACCUCAAGUAUGUUCUAAAU
Molecule: long non-coding RNA, 1326 nt
Filed under: Gadus morhua (Atlantic cod)
Lineage: Eukaryota; Metazoa; Chordata; Actinopteri; Gadiformes; Gadidae
Description: lncRNA (ENSGMOG00000036508.1)
Source: RNAcentral